UGGGGAAUAUUGCACAAUGGGCGCAAGCCUGAUGCAGCCAUGCCGCGUGUGUGAAGAAGGCCUUCGGGUUGUAAAGCACUUUCAGCGGGGAGGAAGGCGAUAAGGUUAAUAACCUUGUCGAUUGACGUUACCCGCAGAAGAAGCACCGGCUAACUCCGUGCCAGCAGCCGCGGUAAUACGGAGGGUGCAAGCGUUAAUCGGAAUUACUGGGCGUAAAGCGCACGCAGGCGGUCUGUCAAGUCGGAUGUGAAAUCCCCGGGCUCAACCUGGGAAAUGCAUUCGAAACUGGCAGGCUAGAGUCUUGUAGAGGGGGGUAGAAUUCCAGGUGUAGCGGUGAAAUGCGUAGAGAUCUGGAGGAAUACCGGUGGCGAAGGCGGCCCCCUGGACAAAGGCUGACGAUCAGGUGCGAAAGCGUGGGGAGCAAACAGG
This 429-nucleotide ribosomal RNA is filed under the name Chloroflexota bacterium. RNAcentral describes it as "Chloroflexi bacterium partial 16S ribosomal RNA". It matches the Rfam family "Bacterial small subunit ribosomal RNA", at positions 355 to 776 of the family's 1533-position model. The record is from RNAcentral. Lineage: Bacteria; Bacillati; Chloroflexota.